Mesocricetus auratus (golden hamster) is the source of this 2455-nucleotide long non-coding RNA. RefSeq lists it as uncharacterized. The transcript is spliced from 2 exons. The record is from RefSeq and is a predicted model, not a curated record. Lineage: Eukaryota; Metazoa; Chordata; Mammalia; Rodentia; Cricetidae.
UGGGAGAGUUUGCCUACGUGGGUCUUACAUGCUAAUGUCAUGGAUACGGAUGGCUGAACUGAGAUACUAAUGAAGAAUGGUUUCUGAAGGACGCUUUAGGAAGUGUUGGUGUCUGCUAGACCCUCUGGCUGAAUGCGCCAUGAACGCCUCAAACCGGCAGGCUCCCUUGGUACCGUGCCGAGGUCUCACGGCGCCUUUCCCUGGCGCUCCUGCCAUCUGCGGUGAGAAGAGCAAGCUGGAGAUGCUGGAGGUGGCUGUUAGCUUUCCACCUGGAUCCCUGGAUGGGCGAUGCUUGGCGCCUACCCGAGUUUGCCCAGCUGAGUGAGCUCGAGCCCAGGGGACCCACAGACGCACAAACAGGACGGACGGGCGUGUGACGUAAGCCGCUGGGACAUCUGCUCACUCUGUCUCCUCGCUUGCCCCCAUCCAGCUGGCCCGUUUCACCUCCCACAUCCGUCCUGAUUAUCUCCUUUCCCAUCGCCGCCGUCGCUGGCCAGGCUUAUUUUUAACCAUCAAGACUGUCACAAGGCUCGUUCCUGAUGUCCCCGUGUUCGGUCUUGGGCUCUCCAGGCUAAUCUCUGCACACCGGCAGAGGUGAUGCUCCUAAACUCCAGUCCCAUCCCAGCCACGAGGGCUUGCGCCAUCGCUCUCAGAGAAGCACCCACACUCACGGCGCGCGAGGGCCUCGGCGCUGCUUCGGGAAGCUCUAGAUCUCUGUUCUUCUGGUCCCUUCUGACCUCCGUGCCCUUUCUUGCUCAGGUCCUCCCGCCUUGCCUUCUCCCCUUGCCUGGGCCGUGUCUGCCCUCUCCUGUCUCAUCUCUUGGGUGCCAACCCGCAAACGGUUCCCUGGAGGGAAUCCCCGAUCACCCCGGACGGCCCGGGUGACGUUCACGUUCCAUGCACUUGCGCAGUAGCCCUGGCUCUCCACCAGACCCCCACAGAAGGACGGAUGAUGUCCGGCAUGUCAAGUGGUUAGACCGGGUCGGCGGUCCGUUCUCUGAACCCACGACCCGCUUGUUGAAGCGAGUGCUCUGUGGAAAUGACGGGAGCGGGCUGGGUAAUGUCAAGGUGGGAAUGAAAACCGAGGAACCCAGAUGGAGGAACUGAGGCACAGGGAGAGCUGAGGUUGCAGUCCUGGGGGGCGUCUGUGGGAGACGUGGAAACGGGGGGGCUCUAAUGGGGACCCUGGGUGCAUUGCUUGCUUGCUGCCUGGCUUACCUUCGACUAGAGGGUGCUUUGCCUUCAGCAGCUCCCUGAAGGGAGUUAUUAGAUUCUUGGGUCCUUCCCUUGACACCCCCUAAAGUAGCUGAUUCGGAGUUUUCAUUCUGGUGAGAUUUCCAGGGACUUUGCAGACAAAAUAGAGAUAACGGAAGUCUCUUUCGGUGAGCCAGAGGACGGCUAGUCUGGCUUUAGAAUCCCACUGAUUUUUAUGAAGACAGGAAAAGGAAAGCAAAACAACACCCUUGGCCAGCAUCUUAUGCAUUUAGCACACACACUGUGGAGGAAGUAAAAAAAUGUGCCCCCCCCAGGUGUUCCAGAUAGACCGGAAGCCCAGGGCCUAGAAUGAUGGAGGGGGGCGGGGAGUUCAACUCCAGCUAAACUGAUGCUGAAUAAAAAGGCCCUGAACAAGGAGAGAGUUUCAGAACCCUGGCUGAAAGGCUAUUUGCCAUGCUGGACGGCACAGAUUGCCAACCAGCUAUGUGUCGACUACGUUCAAACACUGUAGGCUCGGGUGUCUGUUUCUACAGAUGCGUCUUGGCUUGCUCCUUGUGGUGGUGGUAGUCAUACUCGACUGACUACGCUGUAAUCUGGCUCCUCCUGUUUGGCCAGCACAAUGUGUAGCAAGGACGACAGAGUCAGGUCACUCACGGGAGGAGGCAGUCUCGGGGAGGUGACUCAAACAGGAGAGAAAAGCUACAUGCACAGAAGUGUCUGUUACAGCCGAAAGUGGAAAAUACCGAGGGCUGUGAGUAGAAUGGUGACAGAGUGUCUAUGUGAGGACUGUCCCACACUCCUGGGCCCUAGUUCACCUGCCUGGGGCCCAGGGGUUAAUAAGAACAUGGCCUCUGGGACGUAGUUCUCUAUUGUCUGACUCUGGGAAAGCUGUCUUAGCUGCUGUGUGCCUCCAUUUCCUCAUCUGGAGAAAGGGAGUGAUAACAGUAUCUACUCCAGGGGGCUACCGGGAAGGUCAAACGACUUAAUCACAUUCAUUAAAGGAGCUUGUAAUAGCGCCUCUCCCUAGAUGCAUAUGGCCGUCUUAAUAUGCCAAGACACCGGCCUGCCAUGCCCACCUCCUCUGUUACAAGGCUCUUUCUUCCCAACCUCAGGUUUCAUCUCCUGAGAUAAAACCAAGAAGACCGGUAGGACAUUCCCUAGCCCUAUUUGUAGUCAGUAUAGCUCUCACCCCCUUUUCUUUCCAGGCUAAGGAGAGAGAAUAAAUGAGUGUGCUCAACCA